GCAUUGCUGACGAGUCCCAAACAGGAAGAAACAGCUGUGCAGUGC
This 45-nucleotide non-coding RNA is filed under the name Echinostoma caproni. The record is from RNAcentral. Lineage: Eukaryota; Metazoa; Platyhelminthes; Trematoda; Plagiorchiida; Echinostomatidae.